GUCCAAGCUUGCUUAAUGUGGGUUUUGUGACUGUUACAAUUCCACCACCACCUUUGCCAUUGUCAAAUACAGAUGCUACAGGGUGUCUGUCAUGGUUGGAUAGCCAAAAAACCAUGUCCGUGGCUUAUAUUAGCUUUGGAACUGUGGCUAAUUUCCCUCAUAAUGAGAUUAAAGAAUUGGCAGAGGCACUCCAAGAGAAUAGAAUUCCAUUUCUUUGGUCACUGAGGGAGAAUUUAAGGGGGAUUUUGCCAGAUGGUUUUAUUGAGAGGACUAGCUUGCAUGGAAAGGUAGUUCCAUGGGCACCACAGGCCCAAGUAUUGGCACAUAAAUCAAUUGGUGUACAUGUGACACAUUGUGGAGCUAAUUCUGUGUGUGAGAGCAUAGCAAAUGGGAUUCCAAUGAUUUGUAGGCCUGGAGUUUUUGCUGAUAAUUUGACAAAUGCAAAAAUAACAGAGGACAUAUGGAAGGUUGGUGUGAGAGUUGAUGGUGGUGUCUUCACAAAGAAUGGGGUAACCAAGAGCUUAGAGCUCAUCAUGGUUCAUGAACAAGGGAGAAAAAUAAGAAGCAAGGCUCAUGCCCUUCAAGAGCUUCUUUUGCAGGCUGCUGCUCCCAAUGGACAUGCUGCGCAAGAUUUCAAAACUUUGGUGGAAAUUCUUUCAUCAAACCAGGCACUCAAUAAUUAGUUUUAAUUGGUAUGCUUAAACAAAUCACAUGUAAUGAGUCUUGGUUCAAGACUAUGUAUCUUUUCUUGUAGGCGC
Molecule: unclassified non-coding RNA, 758 nt
Filed under: Hevea brasiliensis (rubber tree)
Lineage: Eukaryota; Viridiplantae; Streptophyta; Magnoliopsida; Malpighiales; Euphorbiaceae
Source: RNAcentral